CUUCAAACAUGACUACAGCUAGCACAUAGCGUCUUCUAAUAGAAAUAUCUAAAUUAGCUUGUGCUUCAUUCUUCACUGCAGGUCAGAACAACAACUGAACAGCCCUUGAAGGAGCAUCUGAAGAUGUUUUUGAUGGAUAUUUGAUGUUUUGCAACUGAUAGACUCGUAUCAGCAAAUCCUACUAUGAGAUAUUCAUAGACAAGAAGAAUGUGCCAACCAGGGGUAAAAAAGGAAAGUAUCUCAAAAAC
Molecule: long non-coding RNA, 248 nt
Organism: Sinocyclocheilus anshuiensis
Lineage: Eukaryota; Metazoa; Chordata; Actinopteri; Cypriniformes; Cyprinidae
Exons: 2
Source: RefSeq, a predicted model, not a curated record